CUGGCGGCGUGCCUAACACAUGCAAGUCGAGCGGAGACAGACGGAAAGCUUGCUUCUGUCUGUUCAGCGGCGGACGGGUGAGUAACGCGUGAGCAACCUGCCUUUAACAGGGGAAUAACGCAUCGAAAGAUGUGCUAAUACCGCAUAAGACCACAGCAUCACAUGGUGCAGGGGUCAAAGGAGCAAUCCGGUUAAAGAUGGGCUCGCGUCCGAUUAGCUGGUUGGUGAGACAACAGCCCACCAAGGCGACGAUCGGUAGCCGACCUGAGAGGGUGAUCGGCCACAUUGGAACUGAGAUACGGUCCAGACUCCUACGGGAGGCAGCAGUGGGGAAUAUUGGGCAAUGGGCCGAAAGCCUGACCCAGCAACGCCGCGUGAGGGAAGAAGGGUUUCGGCUCGUAAACCUCUGUCCUAUGGGACGAAGGAAGUGACGGUACCAUAGGAGGAAGCCCCGGCUAACUACGUGCCAGCCGCGGC
RNAcentral lists this ribosomal RNA (477 nucleotides) under uncultured bacterium. RNAcentral's name for it is "bacterial SSU rRNA". It matches the Rfam family "Bacterial small subunit ribosomal RNA", at positions 36 to 518 of the family's 1533-position model. The record is from RNAcentral.